UUCAUCUAAGCCUUUCUCGCCAGCCUUCCUCCCCAAUACCCCUUCUCUAUCGCUCUAUUUUUAGAGCGCACUGUAAUCCCUCCCCCUCUCCAUUUUCCUCCCUCUCCAGCUCUAUUUACCUAUUUUAUGGCACGCAGUCAAAGGCAGAGAGCAAGCUCUGUUCAAAUCAAAUCACGUUUUUUUGUCACAUGCGCCGGAUAGAACUUUACCAUGAAAUGCUUACUUAUGAGCCCUUUCCCAACGAUGCAGAGUAAUAAAAAAAACCCACAAGGAAUAAAAUACACAAGAAUGAAGCUAUAUACAGGGAGUACCAGUAGUAUAUCAAUGAGGCAGAUGAAAAUGCGCAGCGCUCCGUUUUUAGGUCAGUGGGACACGGAAUGGCGCUCUCUCUCUCUCCCUUCUUUUGAUCGACGAGUGGAAACAUUGUGACCUUCCUGACAUUCUAGUUUUCAGUUUUCCCUCGCAACUUUGUUUUUAAAACAUACUACACCCUCUAGUAUUGUGUCUGGGUGAAAACCGAGACAGAGGAAGAGAUGGCUCAUCUGGUGGCUGUGGUGAUUCUUUAGGGGAAAGAAAGAGCAGAGCAAAAUAGGAGGGAAUUCCUAGCUGUCUGUCUCUCACUGUGAAAAAAAGACAGAGAAAAGUGUCCUGGAAGGUGUAACCACUAAAACUAUUAUGCAAAUGAGGAAAUGAGGAAGGGAGCUGCCACUGUGAGAAAGAUAUACUGUAAACUAGUAUUAUUAUGUAAUAAAAUGGUCAUACUCUAGAUUGUUAUGAUGAGGUUGAAGCUAGGUCAAGUUGUUAUGAUGAGGUUGAGACUAGAUCUAUAUUGUUAUGAGGUUGAGACUAGGUCAGGUUGUUAUGACAAGGUUGAGACUAGGGUCUAGGUUGUUAUGAUGUGGUUGAUACCAGGUCAGGUUGUUAUGAUGAGGUUGAUACUAGGUCAGGUUGUUAUGAUGAGGUUGAGACUAGAUCUAUAUUGUUAUGAGGUUGAGACUAGGUCAGGUUGUUAUGACAAGGUUGAGACUAGGGUCUAGGUUGUUAUGAUGUGGUUGAUACCAGGUCAGGUUGUUAUGAUGAGGUUGAUACUAGGUCAGGUUGUUAUGAUGAGGUUUAUACUAGGUCAGGUUGUGUAACCCAGACAAGCUCUAGAGCCAAAUGAAGUGGCUAGAAAGUACUCUACUUGUACUGAGUUCAGUUAGUGUGUCAGUGACAGAUGGAGUAGAGACAGCUUUAGAUUAGAUCCCAAAAAUAAAACCAGACCUUAUUUAGUCUUACUUGAGCUAUUGUUAGAUAUAGUGGUGGUAGCCUGAUAGUGGUAGCAAAGACCAGAAAUGAACAGAUUAAAUACCUAACAUUAGAAACAAUAUUGAAUCUAUAGAAAAAAGAGAUAAGAAAACAAUAACUGACCAAAAGCUUCUGUUACUGAUC
Molecule: long non-coding RNA, 1431 nt
Filed under: Salmo salar (Atlantic salmon)
Lineage: Eukaryota; Metazoa; Chordata; Actinopteri; Salmoniformes; Salmonidae
Description: lncRNA (ENSSSAG00000093967.1)
Source: RNAcentral